UCAGACGAUGCGUCAUGCAUAUCAAUAAGCGGAGGAAAAGAAACUAACAAGGAUUCCCCUAGUAACGGCGAGUGAAGCGGGAAGAGCUCAAAUUUGAAAUCUUAAAGGGUUUCCCUUUACGAAUUGUAGUUUAAAGAAGUGUUUUCUGUUGAGGUUUUGGUAAAAGUUCUUUGGAAUAGGACAUCAUAGAGGGUGAGAAUCCCGUAUUUGACCUUUACUUUCAACUUUGUGAUACACUUUCAAAGAGUCGGAUUGUUUGGGAAUGCAGUCCAAAAUGGGUGGUAAAUUUCAUCUAAAGCUAAAUGUUGGCGAGAGACCGAUAGCGAACAAGUACCGUGAGGGAAAGAUGAAAAGAACUUUGAAAAGAGAGUUAAACAGUACGUGAAAUUGUCAAAAGGGAAGCGUUUGACACCAGUGUUGUUUUUCUGAGAAUCAAUUAAAGAACUGUUUAUGCUAAGUUGUUUAGACUUUAUCAGCUAACUGUUUAGUUUUGAGCUUUUCUUUAAUGCACUUUUCAGUUAACAAGUCAACAUCAAUUUCUUUUGCUGUAAAAAAGCUUGAGGAAGGUGGCUUGAGAUUCGUCUUAAGUGUUUAUAGCCUCUUGCCUAUGCAGUCGGAGAGAUUGAGGUCUGCAGCGCAGAUCCUUCGGGGCUAAAUGCAUUUGUGCUAAGUUAUAGCAUUUUAUAGACAACUUGUUGACUAUGAUUUGUCUUGUAGCUUACUCGCUUAUGUUAUUUUACCUACGCUUAGGAUGUUGAAUCUGUGCGAGACUAC
Molecule: ribosomal RNA, 774 nt
Filed under: uncultured Neocallimastigales
Lineage: Eukaryota; Fungi; Neocallimastigomycota; Neocallimastigomycetes; Neocallimastigales
Description: partial large subunit ribosomal RNA
Rfam family: Eukaryotic large subunit ribosomal RNA
Source: RNAcentral